Molecule: ribosomal RNA, 1437 nt
Filed under: Triticum aestivum (bread wheat)
Lineage: Eukaryota; Viridiplantae; Streptophyta; Magnoliopsida; Poales; Poaceae
Description: partial small subunit ribosomal RNA
Source: RNAcentral
AUGUUUCUUUUCCCGAAGGGAGCGAGCGAGCUAUGGUUUGCCGCCGGCUGCAGCAACCCCCACCUAACCUGUUUCUACCAUAGUCGACGCGUCGCCACGACCACCACAAUCACCUACACCGCCCGGCGCGCCACCACCACCUACUCCGCCAGUGCGCCACCAUCUCGACCUAGCUCCCCAACCUCCCGCACCUUCUCCCCUGCACACUGUGAGGCCCACACCUACCCCGACACCGGCCGUCGAGCCCACCUCCCCCUACCUCUGGCGCCACCACAACCUCUCCGCUCGGCCCCAGUCGAUGGAGCUACCUCUCCAUGGAAGGGAAAAGAGGCGCGCGAGGUCGAGGGGCGCAGCCAGAGGCCCGUCGGGGCACGACCACCAGAUGGAGCUCGGCUGCGCGCCGACCACCUUCCCUACCCCCAGCGAGGCCCGUCGAGGCUCGAGGCCCCCAUUGAGCGAGCCACUACCCGUGCGACCACACUCCGCCGCCAACGUGCACCAAUUCUGCCGCUAACUGAUGCUCUAGUUUUAGCGUCCAUGGUCUGGUUCGCCACAUGGGCCUCCCCACUUCUCCACACAGUGCUUCGGAAGCACCCUGGCCCCAGCCGCAUGCUCCAUCACGCUAGGGAUCGACGAGCUAUUACCAUUCUUGCAGCUAGCAUUUCCAUGAACAACCUGACAUGUCCUAGUGGUGCAAGAGAAUGGAUGCCGCUUGAGGAGUUCCUGAAGAAUCUGUUUAUCCAGGAGGACCACAUGUUCCAGAAGAUUAUGGACAUCUGCAUCCAGCAGCUAAGGGAGUGCUACUGCAGCCUGAAGAAAUCAAUUGAACUUUCUCUUGCGUUGUGCGUCUUCCUUCAGUUAACUUUGGAUAUUUGUAAUAGUUUACUUUUACUAAAUGAAGAGUUCCUAAAUAAGGUAUUCUGCAACCCCCACCCCCUCAUACCUGUAGCUACCCGCAACCUCCCACCCUCUCCUACUUGUAGCUCCCCGCGGAGCGAGCGGUGGCGAGCGGAGCUGGCGGUAAGCCGGGACGCACACCUUCUUCCACCCCCAAGUCACCAAAUCCUCCCCACCUUCUACCUCUGGUUGCCGCCGUGGGGCCGGACCUCUAGCACCGCGCCCAACCUCCCUCUCCGCCGCAGAUCCGGCGAGCACGGCCCCAACCGCUCCUCUCUUCCCCAGAUCCGGUGGGUGCAGCCGCAGUCUCUCCUCUCUGCCCCGGUCUGCGUGAGCACUGCCCACCUUCCACCCCGACCGUCGGUCCACCAUACAGAUGCAGCUGCGACCUCCUUGGUUCGGACAACAGAGGAGGUGCGCUGCAGUGCCGAGUGUGGCGCCAGAUUCUGCUCACUGUGCUCCUCUCCUCCUUGGCCUCCUGCACGCCAUUGCCUUCUAGAUUGGGUCGGCGACCACAACAACCCGGCCAGCGUGCGUUGA